GACGAACGCUGGCGGCGUGCUUAACACAUGCAAGUCGAACGCUAAGGCCCUGCUUUUGUGGGGUGGAUGAGUGGCGAACGGGUGAGUAACACGUGAGUAACCUGCCCCUGCUUUUGGGUAACCCUCGGGAACGUGGGGUUAAACCCGGUAUGCACUUCCCUUCGCAUGGUGGGGGUUGGAAAGUGUCUGCGGUUGGGGAUGGACUCGCGGGUCAUAUGCUUGUUGUGGGGGUAGUGGCUUACCAAGGCUUUGACAGGUAGCCGGCCUGGGAGGGUGACCGGCGACAUUGGGACUGGGAUACUGCCCAGGCUCCUACGGGAGGCAGCAGUGGGGAAGAUUGCACAAUGGGCGGGAGCCGGAGGCAGCAACGUCGCGGGCGUGAGGACGUCCUUCGGUUUGUAAACCGCUUUCGCCGGUAACGAAGCGUGAGUGACGGUAAUGGGUAAAGAAGCACCGGCUAACUACGUG
Molecule: ribosomal RNA, 468 nt
Filed under: uncultured bacterium
Lineage: Bacteria
Description: partial 16S ribosomal RNA
Rfam family: Bacterial small subunit ribosomal RNA
Source: RNAcentral